This 391-nucleotide long non-coding RNA is filed under the name Lotus japonicus. Its description in RNAcentral is "long non-coding RNA (LJAP_LNC000111)". The record is from RNAcentral. Lineage: Eukaryota; Viridiplantae; Streptophyta; Magnoliopsida; Fabales; Fabaceae.
UGACUCUGAUCACCAAGCUUCACAAGUUCCAACAUGAAGCAUCGUCUGAUCAGAAGUCAACUAGGAUAAGGCUCACGUCGCUGUCCAAGUACAAAAGCAAUUGUACUAUCCUGACGACCUUACCUAAGAUGUUCAGCCACAACAGAAUCUGGAAGUUCCGAAUUUGCCCUCCAACGGUAGCAUUUCAAACAGCGAAUACAACCCUAAUCCUUGGAGUAUAAAUAGAGGCUGAAGAUUGAAGAAGCGACUAAGAAACUUUGUACAAGCUUAAGCAACCAUUCAAUAUUCUCUUAGCAUUCUUUCUUCAAUAGUUCUUACUGUGUUUACCUUAGCUUUCUCAGAAGCACUCAUUGUAAACCCAAAACCCUCAAACAGUUAGUUUGAUUUCCUU